RNAcentral lists this ribosomal RNA (497 nucleotides) under uncultured bacterium. Its description in RNAcentral is "partial 16S ribosomal RNA". It matches the Rfam family "Bacterial small subunit ribosomal RNA", at positions 28 to 507 of the family's 1533-position model. The record is from RNAcentral.
GAUGAACGCUGGCGGCGUGCCUAAUACAUGCAAGUCGAGCGAACAGACGAGGAGCUUGCUCCUCUGACGUUAGCGGCGGACGGGUGAGUAACACGUGGAUAACCUACCUAUAAGACUGGGAUAACUUCGGGAAACCGGAGCUAAUACCGGAUAAUAUAUUGAACCGCAUGGUUCAAUAGUGAAAGACGGUUUUCCUGUCACUUAUAGACGGUUCCGCGCCGCAUUAGCUAGUUGGUAAGGUAACGGCUUACCAAGGCAACGAUGCGUAGCCGACCUGAGAGGUUGAUCGGCCACACUGGAACUGAGACACGGUCCAGACUCCUACGGGAGGCAGCAGUAGGGAAUAUUCGGCAAUGGGCGCAAGCCUGACGGAGCAACGCCGCGUGAGUGAUGAAGGUCUUCGGAUUGUAAAGCUCUGUUAUUAGGGAAGAACAAAUGUGUAUGUAACUAUGCACGUCUUGACGGUACCUAAUCAGAAAGCCACGGCUAACUACGUG